AUUGAACGCUGGCGGCGUGCCUAACACAUGCAAGUCGAGCGGUAACAGGUAGGUAGCAAUACAUGCUGACGAGCGGCGGACGGGUGAGUAACGCUUGGGAAUCUGCCUGUUAGUGGGGGACAACCCGGGGGAAACUCGGGCUAAUACCGCAUACGCACUACGGUGGAAAGCCGGGGACCGCAAGGCCUGGCGCUAACAGAUGAGCCCAAGUCGGAUUAGCUAGUUGGUAGGGUAACGGCCUACCAAGGCGACGAUCCGUAACUGGUCUGGGAGGACGACCAGUCACACCGGAACUGAGACACGGUCCGGACUCCUACGGGAGGCAGCAGUGGGGAAUAUUGGACAAUGGGCGAAAGCCUGAUCCAGCGACGCCGCGUGGGUGAAGAAGGCCUGCGGGUUGUAAAGCCCUUUC
Molecule: ribosomal RNA, 412 nt
Filed under: uncultured bacterium
Lineage: Bacteria
Description: bacterial SSU rRNA
Rfam family: Bacterial small subunit ribosomal RNA
Source: RNAcentral